Molecule: ribosomal RNA, 864 nt
Filed under: Geomyces sp.
Lineage: Eukaryota; Fungi; Ascomycota; Leotiomycetes; Thelebolales; Pseudeurotiaceae
Description: LSU rRNA
Rfam family: Eukaryotic large subunit ribosomal RNA
Source: RNAcentral
UUACCUCAGUAACGGCGAGUGAAGCGGUAACAGCUCAAAUUUGAAAUCUGGCCUCACGGUCCGAGUUGUAAUUUGUAGAGGAUGCUUCGAGCAUGGUCUGGCCUAAGUUCCUUGGAACAGGACGUCAUAGAGGGUGAGAAUCCCGUAUGCGGUCAGGUGCCUACGCUCAUGUGAAGCUCCUUCGACGAGUCGAGUUGUUUGGGAAUGCAGCUCAAAAUGGGUGGUAAAUUUCAUCUAAAGCUAAAUAUUGGCCAGAGACCGAUAGCGCACAAGUAGAGUGAUCGAAAGAUGAAAAGCACUUUGGAAAGAGAGUUAAACAGUACGUGAAAUUGUUGAAAGGGAAGCGCUUGCAACCAGACUUGCGCGCGGCCGAUCAUCCGGUGUUCUCACCGGUGCACUCGGCCGUGCUCAGGCCAGCAUCGGUUUUGGCGGCUGGAUAAAGGCCCUAGGAAUGUAGCUCCUCUCGGGGAGUGUUAUAGCCUAGGGUGCAAUGCAGCCUGCUGGGACCGAGGACCGCGCUUCGGCUAGGAUGCUGGCGUAAUGGUUGUAAGCGGCCCGUCUUGAAACACGGACCAAGGAGUCUAACAUCUAUGCGAGUGUUUGGGUGUCAAACCCAUACGCGUAAUGAAAGUGAACGGAGGUGAGAACCCUUAAGGGUGCAUCAUCGACCGAUCCUGAUGUCUUCGGAAGGAUUUGAGUAAGAGCAUAGCUGUUGGGACCCGAAAGAUGGUGAACUAUGCCUGAAUAGGGUGAAGCCAGAGGAAACUCUGGUGGAGGCUCGCAGCGGUUCUGACGUGCAAAUCGAUCGUCAAAUUUGGGUAUAGGGGCGAAAGANUAAUCGAACCAUCUAGUAGCUGGAUCCUG